Molecule: ribosomal RNA, 197 nt
Filed under: Triglops jordani
Lineage: Eukaryota; Metazoa; Chordata; Actinopteri; Perciformes; Cottidae
Description: partial 12S ribosomal RNA
Rfam family: Bacterial small subunit ribosomal RNA
Source: RNAcentral
GUACUGAAACGUACAUCUGAAGGAGGAUUUAGCAGUAAGCAGGAAAUAGAGCGUCCCGCUGAAACCGGCCCUGAAGCGCGCACACACCGCCCGUCACUCUCCCCAAAGACGCCAAUCAAUUAACUAAAACCUAAUAAUUAAAAAGGGGAGGCAAGUCGUAACAUGGUAAGCGUACCGGAAGGUGCGCUUGGAAAAAU